AGAGGCCAGCUCACUCUCAGGCCAUAGAGACUCAUCCUGAUUCGCCCCCAUCCCCAAGUGACACUCUGCCCCGUGCCCAGGAAAGGCGGGUCUGGCCUGUCCCCCGAUCUCCCCCAGCACCUGCCCUCCUCCGACGAACGGGUGAAGACAGACAGCAGGCCCCCUGGCCAAGCCCGUCUCCCUGCCUUGCCCUCCCGGGCGUGGGAGGUCGGCUAGCACCGAUCACCUGGUCUGUCGGUGACUAUCCUGCCCAGGCAUCAGGCACAGAAAUCCAUUUGGGCAGAAAGUCAGCUGUGACAGCCCCUCCGAGCCCCAGGGGACAGAGGCGCAGAGUGCCAGGAACGGACCCCCUCCCGACUUGGCUCCCUCCGGCCUGACUCCUCGCCCAAAGCAGCCCUUGCCCAGACGGCGUCCUCCCUGUAAACCUCCAAGUACAACCCAGAACCAGGGAUCUCGAGGCCCUUCCUGGGAGCUGUAGGUCCCUGGGAUUUCUCCCGGUCUUUCUAGAGAAUCUUCCCCGCACAGGGCUCUCGAGGAGGCUGGACGCCAGGGUCCCCUCUGCCCCCUGUGCACGUCCCCACCCACUGCUGGAGCAGAAUGGGAGGCCCGUCUCCCCCGAACCUGCCGCCAGAACUUUUCGAUCAGGCUCCUGCAACCCCAUUAACCUGCAGCGGCUUCUAAUUGAGCCAACAGGGCUCUGACAUUCUGGCAACGGCUGAGAGCAUUCAGAGCUGGAAAGGGCAGGCCGUUCUCCACCAGGCUGGGGGGCAGGGGGCGUGCAGAGGGAGGAGAGGUGGUGUCACCCCCCUCCCCCAUGUCGGGGCUCCCUGACGUCGGGGGCACAGGAGCCCCCACCCCCACGCCAGAACUCCCCCACCCCAGCCUCACGUCCUCCGGGGAACGAAGCGUCCCCUUACCUGUGCCGAGCCUCGCUGCUGUCCAGCCCGCAGAGGGUAACCCUGGGCGUCCGGGGCGCCCGCCACCAGCCCCUUCCUCGGGAGCAGCCCCGGCCAGGCUGUGUGGGGCGCGUCCCGGGUCGGGGCAUACGUGUAUAUGUGCCCGUGGGCGUAGCAGUGCCUCCGGGAGGAGCCAGGGGUCAAAUAUUCCUGGCUGCCACCUGCCACCGGCCCAUCCCAGGGGCCAGCUGCCCGAGAAGGGGGGCGCUCUGGCCGGGCCGGGCCCGCCGUCAUCUGCCAGGAGCGUCAGGCGACAGCUUUUGCUUACCAGGCUCCCGCCGGCUGCUCUCCCAGGCUGAGGCGAGUGGUUUAUUUUUAGAGCCCGGCCCUUCCCCAGACGCCAGGAUCCCAGCUGAGAUUUCCAGCGGCUCAAACGAGCCCAUUCCUGGGCUGACUUGUCGCUUACUGGGAAUGUUCUGGAAGAGAGACGGAGGUGCUCAAAGGAUGUGGAGCUCAGUGUUCUGGUCUGAGAAGGGCGGGGCUGGACCGGGGGCGGGGGGUCUCCGGGACCCUCUGGCGAGGACGGCCCCUGACUCAGCGGCCAGAAUGGGAUUCGGCUUGGGCAAGGUGCUUCCCCUCUCCCGGCUGCCUCAGUUUCCCCGUCUGGAAGAUGAAAGAGUGCAGCGGGCACCCCCGUGCAGAGCAGGGCUGGGACGGGAGGAUGGGGAGCCACAGCUGCCCACUGUGUAUUCUCCCCAACUGGACUGAGGUCGAGGAGGACAGGGACCCCGGCUGCCCGGUUCACCGUCAGAACUCCCAGUGUGCUAUUCCAGGGUGGACGUACAUAGUAGGUGUUCAGUAAAUAGUAAGUAAGGGAACAAAUGCCCAUCCUCUGGUACCCAGUAUCAGUCUCCUAACUGCCCCGCAAGGUCGCUGGGAACACUUAUUUGAUAGGUGUGGGGCCUGAGGUCUGGAAGGGUGAGGGGCCGCCCCAGGGACCCUGCUCGAAGGUGACAGCAGCUUCCAGGGGGGUGGGUGACGGCUCAGGCAUUUCUCACUCCCCCGUCCUGCCUCCUGAUCAGACGGCCAUCCCCUGGCACAUCCCCUUUCCCAGCCUCAGCCCUGCUCACGCUGUCCCCACCGCUGUCCCUGCUGCUGUCCUGCUAUGGUCCCACUACCCCACUGCUGUCCCCAUUCCCCACCACUGUCCCCACCGCUGUCCCCACUACGGUCCCGCUACCCCACCGCUGUCCGCACCGCUGUCCCCACCGCUGUCCCCGCCCCUCCCACGCUCCCUCUCAUUCUCUGGCUCACGGCACGCUGGGUGUUCUAUAAAUGUCAUCUCCUUUGCAGACCAGAUGGCCACUGAUGGGCUAUGGGACUCAGCCGCGGGGCCUCUCUGCAGCCGUCUGGUGUCCCGAGGGGAGCCCCGUUCUCCGUGGCGGCGGGGGGGGGGGGGGGGCAGCACACCUCCUGACCCGCCUGGGCCUCGCUCUCCUUCUCCCCGGCUCGGGCCCUGCCGCGGCGAGGAGGGGACGGUGCCAGGUGUACACUGGGCCGCCAGUGUUUGCCCAUCCACAUUGACUCAGCUCGUAGGGAAAGAAGUUUGCUGCUCUGUGUGUGUGUUUGCUGGAUGAGCUUUCACCACCGGAUCCUCUCGCCCUCGGCAGGGUGGGGCCUCCAGGCUGAGCUGCCCCUCACGGAACCGACGCAGCCCCGUCCCUGACGCACGGACCACCCGUCUUGGCCACCCCACAGCCCGCCUUUGAGGAGCCGCUCUGCCCUCUGCAGCCUCCCACGCCAAUGCCACCUUCUCCGGUAGGAACUCCCCAGAGGCAGAAACGUGGCUUCCGCGGGGCUCCAAGGGCCCUCUGCUCCUGUUUGUCGGGCAAACGGGCAAAUUCCCCCAAAGGAAGGGUUCGGUGAGUCGUGGCCGUCCACGAGGUCCGGAUAGCACUCGGUGUCCGGGACGAAUGUCCACGAUCCGAGCUAAGUGAUCGCCAACUGCAGCUAUGGGAAGGCUUCAGUUUUGUUGAAGACACACGUCGGUUGUGACGGCUUGGAGGGGAGUCGCUCCCCUCCGGAGCCCAGCGGGCUCACCACGUGCCAUGGUCCCUUGCUUCCUGUGGGUGAGCGCGAGGCCACCACGUGGUGAUCAUGACCAGAUAGAGGAGCUCAGACGCCAAGAAGCAGGAGGCAUGAGAGCAGAGCCCGAAAGGUGACAGGAAAGGACAGGGGGUAGGUCGGGGGUGAAGGGACUCCCCAAAGAAGACACCUCCCCGUUUACAGAGGAGGAGCCCCUUCAGAGCGUCUCCGGGGUCCACAGCCUGGCACGUUCCCCGCCUGAGCUGUUUCCCUCGCCCCACAGGUUGGCCACGUCCCCUGUCACUCGCUGCCUGUGGCUUGGAGACCCUGCCCUUGCUCACAGGACUCCAGCUGCAUCCGGGAAUCUGUGCACCGGACGGAGUAGCUGAGAAGCCCAGGGGAUGGUCACCCUCCGGGGACAGAGCCCAGAGCCCCCCCACCCCCCGUACAUGCCUGUGUGUGGGCAUCUGAUGGGCCACCGCCUUCUCCCCAGGGUGCGCCCACCCCGCUGUCCGUGGUUCGACGGCCACGACACUCCACCCGGCACUAGUUCAAGGUGGGCAAGCUUAUCCUGAGGACGCCUGGGGACCCUGGGGCCUGGCGGCUGAGUGGGGAGCAGGGCCCCCUGAGCUGCCCCCGUGGACGCAACGGCCAGCAGCCUGCAGCCCCGAAGACAGCGGCUCAAGAACGCCCGAGUACAACCGUGCCCGACCUGUUGGGCCCGCCCUGCCUGCCGUCUUACAGAUGAGAAAACCAAGCUGUGCCCACCUUGCCUGCAGCGUCGGCGGCCUUCCUGCUGGGUGGCGAGUGCUUGCACGCUUCCUGUAAUGGGAAGCUCGUUCUCUCGCGAGGCAGCCUUCUCCGUGGACACGGUGUCCCCCUUCCAGCUGCCCCUCCCCCAGCUCCUCCCCAUUUUGGCGGCUCAGGGAACCCAGGCUUGGCCCACAGACGCGGGGGGCCCUGGUCCCUCUCUGUGCCUCACGGCCACGUGCCAGGGCUUUUGAACCCCUCCCUCGUGCCUUUAAGCCCCUUCUCCUGAGCGACAACAGUUAGGAGUUCCUGCCCGCCGGGCAUGCUCGACGGUUCGCAUGUGACUGCCAAGCACCCGGGCUUCCAAGCUGCUGGUCCGUUCGCUCGUGAGGGGUGGGCUGCCCCCACCAGGGGCCAGCAGGGCCCUCCUGUCCCUCUCGCUCACUGCCGAGCGCUCAGCGGCCAACACGAUGGCUCGGGACAUACCAACGGCUGUGCGUUGCCAAUCGGCAGAUCUGCAGGUUUUGGGGGCGGGGGGGUCAGACAGCCCCGGGGUACCGGAAGGAGACCCCUCUCCCCGCUCCCGGGCCCGCUGGCCCUGCACAGGUGGCUCCUUGCAAUCGUGGAUGGUGCGUCGCAGGCCUGCUGGAAUCUGCUAUCUUCCUCUGAAGAUUGCUUCCUGCUUCCGCUGGCUGUGAAAUGAGCAGCUGACCACCCGCAACUCACGUAGGCCUGGUUUGUACUUGGCUCGCGUGGGUGUGGAAGAACCUGCUGUUUGUCGUCCGAAUUACCUGCGACUCUGUGUUCCCUGCAGAGCUGGGGGGGGGGGGGGGGGUGAGGCUCUCUGCCUUGUCCCCCCUCGUUAUUCCGGUCACAGUUUCAAAUCGCCUCUUGGGAGAACGCUUCCCGGAUUGGCUUCUGUAACAAAACCCAAGCCCUUCUCCCCCAUCAUAUAUUUUCUGUAUAACCCUGACCGCCACCUGAAAUUAUCAUGCUUAUCACCAGGUUUAUUUGCUUCUUCUCUGUCUCCCCAGACAGAACAUUCUGCCAGGAGCGGGAGCCGGUCUGUGUCCCUAGCCACAAAACCUUGGCCCAGCACAGCCUUGGCCGUUGGCUCUCGGUAAGGGUGUUAAUGGACUCCUCCCUGUA
Long non-coding RNA from Acinonyx jubatus (cheetah), 4880 nucleotides. RefSeq lists it as uncharacterized. Lineage: Eukaryota; Metazoa; Chordata; Mammalia; Carnivora; Felidae. The record is from RefSeq and is a predicted model, not a curated record. The transcript is spliced from 3 exons.